UACGUAGGGACCAAGCGUUGUUCGGAUUUACUGGGCGUAAAGGGCGCGUAGGCGGCGCAAUAAGUCACUUGUGAAAUCUCCGGGCUUAACUCGGAGCGGCCAAGUGAUACUGUUGUGCUAGAGUGCAGAAAGGGCAAUCGGAAUUCUCGGUGUAGCGGUGAAAUGCGUAGAUAUCGAGAGGAACACCUGAGGCGAAGGCGGGUUGCUAGGCUGACACUGACGCUCAUGCACGAAAGCGUGGGGAGCAAACAGG
This 253-nucleotide ribosomal RNA is filed under the name uncultured bacterium. RNAcentral describes it as "partial 16S ribosomal RNA". It matches the Rfam family "Bacterial small subunit ribosomal RNA", at positions 524 to 776 of the family's 1533-position model. The record is from RNAcentral.